GCUGUAGCUCAAUGGCAAAGCAUCUGCUUUGCAUACAGAAGGCCCUGGGUUCAAUCCUAGGCAUCUCCA
This 69-nucleotide transfer RNA is filed under the name Sphaerodactylus townsendi. RNAcentral describes it as "tRNA-Ala". It matches the Rfam family "tRNA". From Rfam's summary of the family: Transfer RNA (tRNA) molecules are approximately 80 nucleotides in length. Their secondary structure includes four short double-helical elements and three loops (D, anti-codon, and T loops). Further hydrogen bonds mediate the characteristic L-shaped molecular structure. tRNAs have two regions of fundamental functional importance: the anti-codon, which is responsible for specific mRNA codon recognition, and the 3' end, to which the tRNAs corresponding amino acid is attached (by aminoacyl-tRNA synthetases). tRNAs cope with the degeneracy of the genetic code in two manners: having more than one tRNA (with a specific anti-codon) for a particular amino acid; and 'wobble' base-pairing, i.e. permitting non-standard base-pairing at the 3rd anti-codon position. The record is from RNAcentral. Lineage: Eukaryota; Metazoa; Chordata; Lepidosauria; Squamata; Sphaerodactylidae.